This 146-nucleotide non-coding RNA is filed under the name Halobacillus karajensis. Its description in RNAcentral is "Bacterial small subunit ribosomal RNA". It matches the Rfam family "Bacterial small subunit ribosomal RNA", at positions 1 to 129 of the family's 1533-position model. The record is from Rfam by way of RNAcentral. Lineage: Bacteria; Bacillati; Bacillota; Bacilli; Caryophanales; Bacillaceae.
UUUAUGGAGAGUUUGAUCCUGGCUCAGGACGAACGCUGGCGGCGUGCCUAAUACAUGCAAGUCGAGCGCGGGAAGCGAGUGGAUCCCUUCGGGGUGAAGCUCGUGGAACGAGCGGCGGACGGGUGAGUAACACGUGGGCAACCUGC